RNAcentral lists this long non-coding RNA (265 nucleotides) under Cricetulus griseus (Chinese hamster). Its description in RNAcentral is "lncRNA (ENSCGRG00015043382.1)". The record is from RNAcentral. Lineage: Eukaryota; Metazoa; Chordata; Mammalia; Rodentia; Cricetidae.
GAGAAUGGCUUGGGGCUUACCCAGUGCUGAACAGUGAGACACAGCUUCUUGGACCUGGAACUCCGAAUGGGAGGUUAUACUGCUGGAGUGACUCAAGAAGAAUUGAUGCUCUGGCCCCCAGACAUGUACACGGUGUGAUGACAGGAAAUGAACGGAUUUGCAGAAAACCUUGUGGCCUGAAAUUGAAGCCUAAGGAGUCGGUGCUUGUGAGUAUGAAUUUUGCUUGUUGAGUUCUGUGGUUUUAACGAUGUUCCUGGGAAAUGGG